GAACGCACCUUGCGCUCCUUGGUAUUCCGAGGAGCAUGCCUGUUUGAGUGUCAUGAAAUCUUCAACCUAUAAGCUUUUGUGGUUUGUAGGCUUGGACUUGGAGGCUUGUCGGCCUUGAUCGGUCGGCUCCUCUUAAAUGCAUUAGCUUGAUUCCUUGCGGAUCGGCUCUCGGUGUGAUAAUAUCUACGCCGCGACCGUGAAGCGUUUGGCGAGCUUCUAACCGUCUCACUUGAGAGACAACUUUAUGACCUCUGACCUCAAAUCAGGUAGGACUACCCGCUGAACUUAAG
This 290-nucleotide unclassified non-coding RNA is filed under the name uncultured Polyporales. Its description in RNAcentral is "sequence contains 5.8S rRNA gene". The stretch from base 1 to 53 matches the Rfam family "5.8S ribosomal RNA", at positions 102 to 154 of the family's 154-position model. Lineage: Eukaryota; Fungi; Basidiomycota; Agaricomycetes; Polyporales. The record is from RNAcentral.